Molecule: long non-coding RNA, 388 nt
Filed under: Nicotiana benthamiana
Lineage: Eukaryota; Viridiplantae; Streptophyta; Magnoliopsida; Solanales; Solanaceae
Description: long non-coding RNA (NBEN_LNC014116)
Source: RNAcentral
CCGAAUCAAACAAACGGUGCGUUUCUCGGACAUUGUCAGCACACAUGUUAUUACAUUACAUCUAACAUUAUGUUAUGCAACAAAUUAAACCACCAUUUCUUCAAAUCUAUACAACACCCCCUUUUCUUCUUCUUCCAUCUUUUUUCAGAACCCAAAAUACCCAGAAAAAGAAACAAAAAUUCAGGCCAAAAACUCUAUUUUUAUGCUCCUUUAAACUUCUUCUUCUUCUUCUAUCUUUUUUCAGAACCCAAAAUACCCAGAAAAAGAAACAAAAAUUAAGGCCAAAAACUCCAUUUUUAUGCUCCUUUAAACAUUGACAACUCUUUUCUCUGUCCCCAAGUGCAAAAAAAAAAAAAUAGUAUUGUGUACGCACCACUAUGGAACUUUU